CGUGACCAGAGACAGAGAAUCUUCGCUAUGGCCCACAUGCAGCUCCCGACAAAAGCCAAGGGCUGGCUCCGGAUCCGCAGCCUCCUGGUCCGACAAUGCAUGGCAGAGUUUCUGGGUGUGUUUGUGCUCAUGGUCUUCACCCAGAGCGCUGUGGCCCAGGCUGUCACCAGUGGAGAAAGGAAAGGCAACUCUCUCACCAUGUUUCUGGCUGGCUCUUUUGCUGUUGUGAUAGCCGUCUACGUGAGUGGUAAUGUCUCAGGGGCUCACCUGAAUCCAGCCUUUUCCCUGGCCAUGUGCCUCCUGGGACGCUUCCCCUGGGCCAAGCUUCCCAUUUACUCCUUGGUGCACCUAGUGUCUGCUUUCUGUGCCUCCGGAGCCACCUAUGCUCUCUACUAUGAUGCCCUGCAGAACUAUACAGGAGGGAACCUGACAGUGACUGGCCCUAAGGAGACAGCUUCCAUCUUUGCCACCUACCCUGCUUCCUAUCUGUCCCUGAAUAAUGGCUUCCUGGAUCAGGUCCUGGGCACCGGGAUCCUGCUUGUGGGGGUCUUGGCCAUCCUGGACACACGGAAUAAGGGAGUACCAGCAGGUCUGGAGCCUGUAGUGGUGGGGCUGCUGAUCCUGACCAUCGGGCUGUCCAUGGGUGUCAACUGUGGAUGCCCACUCAACCCUGCCAGGGACUUGGGCCCACGACUUUUCACCUACAUGGCUGGCUGGGGCCCUGAAGUCUUCAGUGCUGGUAAUGGCUGGUGGUGGGUGCCUGUGGUGGCCCCUAUGGUGGGGGCCACCCUUGGCACAGCCACAUACCAGCUGCUGGUGGCUCUGCACCACCCUGAGGAUUCAGAGCCAGCUCAGGAUCUAGAGUUGGUUCAACACAAAGCCUCAAAUUUGGGAAACAACUGACUCUGACUGGAUGCCACAGUGUAAGCUAUGAUUCUGACACAACAGUCCUACCUCCCUCAUGGACACUAAAGAGGGCCAGAGACCCAGACCUGGCGACAGCAGGCCCUGGGAAGCUUCUCUGUUUACUCACCUAGGCUUCCUCCUAAACUGGGGAGGAUGCCUGGACAGGGAGACCAGUAGAUAAGGUCCAGUCUUCAUCCUCUCCUCCCCCAAGCCUGUUUUGGUAUCCUGCGGGCUUCCAAGAACGCAGUUCCUCAAAGUGGCCGCCAGAGGGUGCGCAUCCUAGGAGCCGGAUCGGGAAAGCUGCGGGAAUCUGCAGGGUGAUGGGGGCCGACUGUCCGGUGGAGGGGCAUAACCCUGGGGACUUCUUCCCAAGCUUAGUCCCCACUGCCUGACUCCCAGGUCUCAUAACCGCAGCGCCUCUGCCCCUAGGUUCAGCCAGCCCCCAGAUAACAGCUCUCGUGCCCCUCCCCGAAGAAGAUUCCUUUUCAGCAAAGAAGACAGUUUUCUCCAGUUGCCUUUUUUUUAUUAAAACAAAUCUC
RNA transcript from Phyllostomus hastatus (greater spear-nosed bat), 1445 nucleotides. It is a transcript of the gene named aquaporin 10, with no coding region annotated. The transcript has 7 exons. NCBI's taxonomy places the organism in Eukaryota, Metazoa, Chordata, Mammalia, Chiroptera, Phyllostomidae. The record is from RefSeq and is a predicted model, not a curated record.